RNAcentral lists this ribosomal RNA (492 nucleotides) under uncultured bacterium. Its description in RNAcentral is "partial 16S ribosomal RNA". It matches the Rfam family "Bacterial small subunit ribosomal RNA", at positions 29 to 507 of the family's 1533-position model. The record is from RNAcentral.
AGUGAACGCUGGCGGUAGGCCUAACACAUGCAAGUCGAACGGCAGCACAGUAAGAUCUUGCUCUUACGGGUGGCGAGUGGCGGACGGGUGAGGAAUACAUCGGAAUCUACUUUUUCGUGGGGGAUAACGGAGGGAAACUUACGCUAAUACCGCAUACGACCUACGGGUGAAAGCAGGGGAUCUUCGGACCUUGCGCGAUUGAAUGAGCCGAUGUCGGAUUAGCUAGUUGGCGGGGUAAAGGCCCACCAAGGCGACGAUCCGUAGCUGGUCUGAGAGGAUGAUCAGCCACACUGGAACUGAGACACGGUCCAGACUCCUACGGGAGGCAGCAGUGGGGAAUAUUGGACAAUGGGCGCAAGCCUGAUCCAGCCAUACCGCGUGGGUGAAGAAGGCCUUCGGGUUGUAAAGCCCUUUUGUUGGGAAAGAAAAGCAGCAGGUUAAUCCCCCGCUGUUCUGACGGUACCCAAAGAAUAAGCACCGGCUAACUUCGUG